GAUGAACGCUGGCGGCGUGCUUAAUACAUGCAAGUCGAACGGAAAGGCCCUGCUCUUGUUGGGUGCUCGAGUGGCGAACGGGUGAGUAAAACGUGAGUAAACUGCCCUUGUCUUUGGGAUAAAUUUAGGAAACUGGGGCUCAUAUCGGAUAGGAGCUCCUGCAGCAUGGUGGGGGUUGGAAAGUUUCGGCGGUUGGGGAUGGAAUCGAGGCUUAUCCGCUUGUUGGUGGGGUAGGGGCUUACAAAGGCUUUGACGGGUAGCCGGCCUGAGAGGGUGACCGGCCACAAGGGGACUAAGAGACGGCCCAGACUCCUACGUGAGGCAGCAGGCGGAAAUAUUGCACAAUGAGCGGAAGCCUGAUGCAGAAACGCCGCGUGCGUGAUGACGGCUUUCGGGUGGUAAACCGCUGUCGCCGUUGACGAAGCGUGAGUGACGGUAAUGGGUAAAGAAGCACCGGCUAACUACGUG
This 468-nucleotide ribosomal RNA is filed under the name uncultured bacterium. Its description in RNAcentral is "partial 16S ribosomal RNA". It matches the Rfam family "Bacterial small subunit ribosomal RNA", at positions 28 to 507 of the family's 1533-position model. The record is from RNAcentral.